Molecule: long non-coding RNA, 734 nt
Filed under: Dromaius novaehollandiae (emu)
Lineage: Eukaryota; Metazoa; Chordata; Aves; Casuariiformes; Dromaiidae
Description: lncRNA (ENSDNVG00000002660.1)
Source: RNAcentral
CCUUGCCUGGAAAACAGUGGGAUUUGACUGAAAAGUAAACGCAGCCUGAGGCUACAUUAAAGGGACACUAUCAGCCUGAGAGCCACCCUCCUCUGUGAAAAUGCUGUGCUGAUCAUUGCUGCGAAUGAUACUGAAACUGGAGGAUGUUUAGGUUGAAGAAGGUGUUUCUCCCUGCGUGCUGCGUUUUGUGUGUUUUGUUGCACAUCACUUCCCAGCUUGGACUUUGGAGCUUGCCUGCGUGGGAGGAAAUCCCAUGUUGCUCUGCUGAGACCGGCGCAGGUUCAAAACGUGAAGGAUUUUUCGGAGCGUUCAGUGCAUGAGCCGGUGCUGACUGGCUUUCGUGGCCUCUGGACCCAGCUGGCUGGUGCUGCAGCAGCCUGGGGAGGUGCAGCCCGGCUGCUAGAGGAGCUUCUCAGCUCGGCACCCCUCUUCCAGCAGACCUUCAUUAAAAAGGGCUAUGAAUUUUCCACCCAAUUGUAUCUACGCCGUUCAGCAGCCUCCACUGAGGUAGAGGGGGAACGCUGCAGCAGGUGCAGCCCGGCGCGUGGAGAGGUUCGGUUUGCAUUCGCUAGAUGUCACUCUGUACAAAGACUAUCAGAAGCUGCUGGAACGGAUGAUUAAAUGAGGAAAAAAAAAAGCUAUUUGGAGAGGGUGGGUUUUUAAUCAAUUGGAAGGAUGCUUCAGCCAGCUAGUUAUGGCACUAAUAAACAGUGCUUUAGGCGAUGUUGAUAACA